RNAcentral lists this unclassified non-coding RNA (338 nucleotides) under Hevea brasiliensis (rubber tree). The record is from RNAcentral. Lineage: Eukaryota; Viridiplantae; Streptophyta; Magnoliopsida; Malpighiales; Euphorbiaceae.
UAUUGAACUGCAUGUACAUGUCAAUGCCGCCAGUUGUAGAAGAUUUUGAUCAAACCCUGUUCUAUCAAUGAUGCCUAUGGCGAUCUUUAUCGCGUGAAGAAUAAGAUGAGCUAUGGUAUUCACGAUCUCGCGAUGAGUGGUGUCUUGACUUCUCCAGAUGCCCUCCUAAUUCCUUGCCCCUAUCCUUCGAGCGAUGAGCUCGAUCCUUGACUUUGUCUCUGUCUGCAUCCUCUCUCUCACGUUCUCUGUCAGAAUCCCGACCCCUAUCUCGAUCUCGAGACUUGGUUCUGUCUCUCUCCCUCUCUCUUUCUCUAUCCCGGUCUCUUUCUCUCUCUUUG